CAUGCAAGUCGAGCGGAUGAAGGGAGCUUGCUCCUGGAUUCAGCGGCGGACGGGUGAGUAAUGCCUAGGAAUCUGCCUGGUAGUGGGGGAUAACGUCCGGAAACGGGCGCUAAUACCGCAUACGUCCUGAGGGAGAAAGUGGGGGAUCUUCGGACCUCACGCUAUCAGAUGAGCCUAGGUCGGAUUAGCUAGUUGGUGGGGUAAAGGCCUACCAAGGCGACGAUCCGUAACUGGUCUGAGAGGAUGAUCAGUCACACUGGAACUGAGACACGGUCCAGACUCCUACGGGAGGCAGCAGUGGGGAAUAUUGGACAAUGGGCGAAAGCCUGAUCCAGCCAUGCCGCGUGUGUGAAGAAGGUCUUCGGAUUGUAAAGCACUUUAAGUUGGGAGGAAGGGCAGUAAGUUAAUACCUUGCU
RNAcentral lists this ribosomal RNA (416 nucleotides) under Pseudomonas aeruginosa. RNAcentral's name for it is "bacterial SSU rRNA". It matches the Rfam family "Bacterial small subunit ribosomal RNA", at positions 54 to 469 of the family's 1533-position model. The record is from RNAcentral. Lineage: Bacteria; Pseudomonadati; Pseudomonadota; Gammaproteobacteria; Pseudomonadales; Pseudomonadaceae.